AUUGAACGCUGGCGGCAUGCUUUACACAUGCAAGUCGAACGGCAGCGCGGUCUUCGUCCUGGCUGCGCGUGGCGAACGGGUGAGUAAUGCAUCUGAACGUGCCCAGUUGUUGUUUAUAGCCCGGCCAAAGCCGGAUUAAUACCGCCUACGACCUGAUGGUGAAAGCGGGGGACCGAAAGGCCUCUCGCUCUUGUGGCGUCCGAUGCCGGAGUAGCUAGUUGGUGGGGUAAAGGCUUACCAAGGCAACGAUCCGUAGGUGGUCUGAGAGGACGACCAGCCACACUGGGACUGAGACACGGCCCAGACUCCUACGGGAGGCAGCAGUGGGGAAUGUUGGACAAUGGGGGCAAACCUGAUCCAGCCAGGCCGCGUGCGGGAAGAAGGCCUUCGGGUUGUAAACCGCGUUUGUUGGGGAAGAAAACCUCUGGGCUAAUACCCCGGGGGGAUGACGGUACCGGAAGAAUAAGCACCGGCUAACUACGUG
This 484-nucleotide ribosomal RNA is filed under the name uncultured bacterium. Its description in RNAcentral is "partial 16S ribosomal RNA". It matches the Rfam family "Bacterial small subunit ribosomal RNA", at positions 30 to 507 of the family's 1533-position model. The record is from RNAcentral.